Molecule: ribosomal RNA, 467 nt
Filed under: rape rhizosphere bacterium m9022
Lineage: Bacteria
Also listed under: 1 other name
Description: bacterial SSU rRNA
Rfam family: Bacterial small subunit ribosomal RNA
Source: RNAcentral
GCAUGCCUUACACAUGCAAGUCGAACGGCAGCGCGGGAGCAAUCCUGGCGGCGAGUGGCGAACGGGUGAGUAAUACAUCGGAACGUGCCCAAUCGUGGGGGAUAACGCAGCGAAAGCUGUGCUAAUACCGCAUACGAUCUACGGAUGAAAGCAGGGGAUCGCAAGACCUUGCGCGAAUGGAGCGGCCGAUGGCAGAUUAGGUAGUUGGUGAGGUAAAGGCUCACCAAGCCUUCGAUCUGUAGCUGGUCUGAGAGGACGACCAGCCACACUGGGACUGAGACACGGCCCAGACUCCUACGGGAGGCAGCAGUGGGGAAUUUUGGACAAUGGGCGAAAGCCUGAUCCAGCCAUGCCGCGUGCAGGAUGAAGGCCUUCGGGUUGUAAACUGCUUUUGUACGGAACGAAACGGCCUUUUCUAAUAAAGAGGGCUAAUGACGGUACCGUAAGAAUAAGCACCGGCUAACUAC